Paramacrobiotus metropolitanus is the source of this 2754-nucleotide RNA transcript. RefSeq lists it as uncharacterized. The transcript has 7 exons. NCBI's taxonomy places the organism in Eukaryota, Metazoa, Tardigrada, Eutardigrada, Parachela, Macrobiotidae. The record is from RefSeq and is a predicted model, not a curated record.
AUUAAAAACCAUCGUGACCUAUAAUGCUUAGUCACAUUAAUGACCAAAUAAGCUGCUUUAGGCUGUGAUUACCAAUUUACUACAUAGUUUACGUGAACGGGGCAGGCUUUUCCUUGUUUUAAAAACUAAUCACCCUAUUCUGACUGGCAGUGACUGCAAAGAGCUACGCAGAACUGUCGGCAGUCUGAUCCGCUUCUAGGUGGAACAUAAGUUUAAUUAAAUCCAAUCCCAAAAAUGGUACAUGAAUUGGUGGCAAUACGUCUUCCACAAUGAUUGCUUUAAAUCGAUGGCGUAUAAUAUGUCGUGCGUUUUGUCCCGUGUCCUGGCUUCAGAGCUUCAUCUGCCAAGCGCAGCCAUGACUAAAUUAUGCGAAUGGUCACAAAACAAAAAACAUGAGGAUGUCGCAGGGUUACAGGCUGCGCUGUGUGGAACUGUUACAGCGCACAUCGGUUCGGAUCGAGCCUCUGGGCGGUAAAUCGUUAUGCUGAAUCGAACAUCCCAAAUUAUUUUGGCUUGGCUAUGUUGGGCUACUUCGCGGUUGUGCAGUGUCGGCUAAGCAAACGGUGCCUUUUGGUCCAACCGGCGGAAUCAACGCCACAAAUGGGAACCGGUUAGCGGUGAACUUCAUCGUCAACUUCAACCUAACCGGUUACGCGGAGAACUCCACUAUUUCCACUGCCGUCCAAGACCGGGCCAAGAGCUGCAAAUUGGACGAUCUUCCACUGUAUUCAAAAGUUGUUGACAUCAACAUAAAUAAUGACAGUCAACGGCUCCUUACUUAUGCCUGACCGUAUAGUCCGGACGACGUGGAAUUUUUGCUGGAUUAUGGCGGAAAGCGCUGACCAGCGACCGACAAAAGCGUAUCGACUGCAUCAACAGUGCCAUGCAGGCCAUUUAUCAAGGGUUGUCUCUGCAGAUUCUGAACGUCACCGCCAUACUGAACAUGGCCGUGCAGGAUACAACACGGGACUGGAUGGUGCGGCGCAUAACGAAAAGUAUGCAGCUUCUGGCCCACUACAGGCAAGUUAAUUUGAGCUCCAUUGACCGACGAUUCCCUCUCGCCCAAAAUGUAACGAGCCAGAGUGAACUGAUGGCGCUCAGUGCGAACUUGACGGUGGGAAGCCUCACGGACCUGACGCACGUGUUGGCAGGGUGCGCUAACUACACCGCAUUUUACGCAUCCUCGUCGGUAUUCCUUGACCGUAAUAAUGGCACAGCGGCAUUUGCGUGGGUCGUCAUACGAGCGUUGCGCAUCUGCUGUGAUAAUCUGUUUGUUGACACGUCGGUAGCGGAUUUACCUGCAGAUCAUCUACAAUACAACAGUGGCGCAAGCGGCGCAGAACCUGACCACCAAAUGGACGAAAGAUGUGGAAGGCAUGUUUUUGCGCUGCUUCAUCUGAGGCUUGGUUACCGAUGGAUGGUUGCGACAGAUUCAGGAUUUUGUCCAGCUAAUAGCCAAGAACUACUCGGUCGGCAGUGACCUUUGGGCCUAUCACACACCGUCGGAGCCGCCCAUGAGCUCAUCGGUGGUUAUUUUAUCGCUUGCCAUUAAUACAUCCGGAAUUAAUAUCGAUGACCUUAUGACGACACUGCGUUACCAAAACCUUCUGCAGAAUAUCUCCCUAAAUUUCAUCAACGCAAGGCACAUUCUGUGGCUGUAUGGUGACUAGACCACAAAAAAUCCUGUGGAUGCCAGCCAUUACGAGGCAGCCCUAGCGUCCACUCUCACUGGCAUUUUAAACUUUCUUGCUGUCCUCGGCGUCACCGCGUAUUUCGUCCGUCAGCUACGCAAGUCGGAGCGUUACCAGCCAGCUGCCUGUUCCUAAAGAACUGGAACCUGACGAUGAUUUUGAUAACACCUAUAUUGGAUCGGCGGCAGAAAGACUCGUACAACGAAGAGUACAGAAAAAGAACAGGAUAGCACUAUAGCCCCGGACGUAUUUGUCAAAAAGUGUGCGCUAGUCCCAUGGUCCACCUACAGACAACAGUGCAUAGUACAUAAUAUGUACUCAAUCCAGUUCAGCAACAAGAUCCAGCCACGUUAUCGUGAAACACUCACGGACGUCAUGAAUCUACUGCUAUCCCGCCGGAUUUGGAAAUCCCGAUCAGCGUAGUUAAACGAUGAUAUUACGAAAGAUCAACAACGUGCCGUUGCAGUGGCAUGCCUAACCCAGCCUGUUGCAUUCUUGAGAGUUGCCCGGUCCAGUAUUACGUUCGAACUCUGUCCCGACUGAUGGUUAGACAUGGAAGCGUGAACGCGAAGGCGAAAAACCAGCGCCCAGACUGAGAGAACAUACUGCAUUCGCUAACUCUCAAAUCGAUUAUGGCAUGCGCAAAUAGCAGCAGCCGGCAAAGAGGUCAAAAACAAGGACAAGCACAUAAGGACGAAACGUGGCACGACAUGUCGUACGGUCGAUCCUGACGGCUACUGCAAAAAGCUGCCGAUGAAAGAAGCUGCGUUCUUCAUCGAAGCUUGCAAAAAUCUAAAUUCGCCUUUUUCGUUAGUUGCGGUGCGAAAGUUUCGAUAGAUCUCGCACCGUACCUUUUGUGAACCAAAACCGCAGUGCGUUUUGCGACAGUUAUGCGUUGUUAAGCAGUUAAAAUCGGCGUACAAAUCCAUUUCAUUUUUAAGUGAGGCGUUUUUGCGUGGCUUGGAUUUCAAUAAGAUAAGUUUCGAUUGAAGAUUGCGAAAUAUAGCAAACAUAAUUAUUAUUUUUGCUAUCCACGAGCAUGUUUGUACUGUAACUGCGAACA